UGGGGAAUUUUGGACAAUGGGCGAAAGCCUGAUCCAGCCAUGCCGCGUGAGUGAAGAAGGCCUUCGGGUUGUAAAGCUCUUUUAGUCGGAAAGAAAGAGUUGCAAUGAAUAAUUGUGAUUUAUGACGGUACCGACAGAAAAAGCACCGGCUAACUACGUGCCAGCAGCCGCGGUAAUACGUAGGGUGCGAGCGUUAAUCGGAAUUACUGGGCGUAAAGGGUGCGCAGGCGGUUUUGCAAGUCAGAUGUGAAAGCCCCGGGCUUAACCUGGGAAUUGCGUUUGAAACUACAAGGCUAGAGUGCAGCAGAGGGGAGUGGAAUUCCAUGUGUAGCAGUGAAAUGCGUAGAGAUGUGGAAGAACACCGAUGGCGAAGGCAGCUCCCUGGGUUGGCACUGACGCUCAUGCACGAAAGCGUGGGGAGCAAACA
RNAcentral lists this ribosomal RNA (427 nucleotides) under uncultured beta proteobacterium. RNAcentral's name for it is "bacterial SSU rRNA". It matches the Rfam family "Bacterial small subunit ribosomal RNA", at positions 355 to 774 of the family's 1533-position model. Lineage: Bacteria; Pseudomonadati; Pseudomonadota; Betaproteobacteria. The record is from RNAcentral.